This 110-nucleotide ribosomal RNA is filed under the name uncultured bacterium. RNAcentral describes it as "partial 16S ribosomal RNA". It matches the Rfam family "Bacterial small subunit ribosomal RNA", at positions 1367 to 1482 of the family's 1533-position model. The record is from RNAcentral.
UACGUUCCCGGGUCUUGUACACACCGCCCGUCACACCAUGGGAGUUGGUUCUACCUUAAGUCGGUUCUUCAAUCUGGAGGCCGCCCACGGUAGGGUCAAUGACUGGGGUG